GCUCGCUUAGCUCAGUUGGUUAGAGCGUCGUGCUAAUAACGCGAAUGUCACAGGUUCGACCCCUGUAGUGAGCA
RNAcentral lists this transfer RNA (74 nucleotides) under Piptocephalis tieghemiana. Its description in RNAcentral is "tRNA-Ile". It matches the Rfam family "tRNA". From Rfam's summary of the family: Transfer RNA (tRNA) molecules are approximately 80 nucleotides in length. The record is from RNAcentral. Lineage: Eukaryota; Fungi; Zoopagomycota; Zoopagomycetes; Zoopagales; Piptocephalidaceae. RNAcentral also lists the same sequence under 1 other name.